Molecule: non-coding RNA, 696 nt
Organism: Sebastes umbrosus (honeycomb rockfish)
Lineage: Eukaryota; Metazoa; Chordata; Actinopteri; Perciformes; Sebastidae
Source: the annotation of a RefSeq genome assembly
UGUCUUUAACCUCCCACCUCCCGUUAUAAAAAGCAGCCUCAGAUACUCAUCACAUCUGCUGUGGCUGCUUCUCGUGUUAACAGGAUCACUAUGACGACUCAAGUUCUCAUCACAUUUGUAGUCUCGUCUCUGUGGCUUCAAGGUCACUGCCAGGAUGUGACCCAAUACCCUGAAAUCAGUUGGAGUUAUGUUUUCAAAUCUGCAGAGAUAAACUGCAACCACAACAAAGAUGCUGGUCAUAACCAGAUGUACUGGUACAGACAGCGUCCAGGGGAGACCAUGACCCUCAUAGUCUACACAGUUUAUGGUGGACAGCCAGACUAUGGGGGGGUCUCUCAAACCAAAUAUUCAGCAAUCAAAGACAAAAUAGAGAGCGGGGCUCUUACUGUGAAAGACUUGCAGCCUGAUGACAGCGGUGUGUAUUUUUGUGCCGUCAGUAAACACAGUGAUGUGAGAAGUAUGAGCGGCUGAACAAAAACUGGUUGACAAUACAUUUGGUGAGUGUAUUAGAGACCAAGUGUUGGUUGUUAUAUCUGUCCAGUAGGUGGAGCUGGAGCUUCAGAAAUACUCUCCAGUUAAACACAGGCAGCACUGUGAAAUAUGAUGUAGCUGGUAUAGAUUUGACAGGAAGGUGUUGAUAAAGAGUCUACAGUAAACAGAGACACUCAGUGAUCUGUGUUCAUUCAGACAGGAGGA